This 847-nucleotide ribosomal RNA is filed under the name uncultured bacterium. RNAcentral describes it as "bacterial SSU rRNA". It matches the Rfam family "Bacterial small subunit ribosomal RNA", at positions 615 to 1463 of the family's 1533-position model. The record is from RNAcentral.
UGGGAACUGCGUUNUGAACUGGGUGACUAGAGUGUGUCAGAGGGAGGUAGAAUUCCACGUGUAGCAGUGAAAUGCGUAGAGAUGUGGAGGAAUACCGAUGGCGAAGGCAGCNUCCUGGGAUAACACUGACGUUCAUGCCCGAAAGCGUGGGUAGCAAACAGGAUUAGAUACCCUGGUAGUCCACGCCCUAAACGAUGUCGAUUAGCUGUUGGGCAGCAUGACUGCUUAGUAGCGAAGCUAACGCGUGAAAUCGACCGCCUGGGGAGUACGGUCGCAAGAUUAAAACUCAAAGGAAUUGACGGGGACCCGCACAAGCGGUGGAUGAUGUGGAUUAAUUCGAUGCAACGCGAAGAACCUUACCUGGUCUUGACAUGUACGGAACCCUCCAGAGACGGAGGGGUGCCUUCGGGAGCCGUAACACAGGUGCUGCAUGGCUGUCGUCAGCUCGUGUCGUGAGAUGUUGGGUUAAGUCCCGCAACGAGCGCAACCCUUGUCAUUAGUUGCCAUCAUUAAGUUGGGCACUCUAAUGAGACUGCCGGUGACAAGCCGGAGGAAGGUGGGGAUGACGUCAAGUCCUCAUGGCCCUUAUGACCAGGGCUUCACACGUCAUACAAUGGUCGGUACAGAGGGUAGCCAAGCCGCGAGGUGGAGCCAAUCUCACAAAACCGAUCGUAGUCCGGACUGCACUCUGCAACUCGAGUGCAUGAAGUCGGAAUCGCUAGUAAUCGCAGGUCAGCAUACUGCGGUGAAUACGUUCCCGGGUCUUGUACACACCGCCCGUCACACCAUGGGAGUGGGGGAUACCAGAAGUAGGUAGGGUAACCGCAAGAAGCCCGCUUACCACGGU